UCUCCGUAGGUGAACCUGCGGAGGGAUCAUUACAGUGUUCUCGCUCUCGCAGGUAGAUCUCCUACCCACUGUUAUCGUUACUGUGUUGAUUUGGCGGGCCGCCGGGCCCCGCUCGGCCGCCGGCUCCGGCUGGGGCGCGCCCGCCAGAGGCGCAGCAAACUCUGUAUGUUUGUGUCGUCUGAGUACUAUAUAAUAGUUAAAACUUUCAACAACGGAUCUCUUGGUUCUG
Molecule: unclassified non-coding RNA, 229 nt
Filed under: plant metagenome
Description: partial contains small subunit ribosomal RNA, internal transcribed spacer 1, and 5.8S ribosomal RNA
Source: RNAcentral